Molecule: ribosomal RNA, 520 nt
Filed under: uncultured Glomus
Lineage: Eukaryota; Fungi; Glomeromycota; Glomeromycetes; Glomerales; Glomeraceae
Description: SSU rRNA
Rfam family: Eukaryotic small subunit ribosomal RNA
Source: RNAcentral
AGCAGCCGCGGUAAUUCCAGCUCCAAUAGCGUAUAUUAAAGUUGUUGCAGUUAAAAAGCUCGUAGUUGAAUUUCGGGAUUAGUACGCUGGUCGUGCCAUCGGUAUGUACUGGUGUUACUGGUUCCUACCUUCUGACGAACCGUCAUGUCAUUAAUUUGGUGUGGCGGGGAAUCAGGACUGUUACUUUGAAAAAUUAGAGUGUUUAAAGCAGGCUCGCGCUUGAAUACAUUAGCAUGGAAUAAUGAAAUAGGACGUUCGAUCCUAUUUUGUUGGUUUCUAGGAUUGACGUAAUGAUUAAUAGGGAUAGUUGGGGGGCAUUAGUAUUCAAUUGUCAGAGGUGAAAUUCUUGGAUUUAUUGAAGACUAACUACUGCGAAAGCAUUUGCCAAGGAUGUUUUCAUUAAUCAAGAACGAAAGUUAGGGGAUCGAAGACGAUCAGAUACCGUCGUAGUCUUAACCAUAAACUAUGCCGACUAGGGAUCGGAUGAUGUUAUUUUUAAUGACUCAUUCGGCGCCUUAAC